ACAGCUCUGGCGAUGCGUUGGCACGUCUCCCAGCCAUAUGAUCCAUCCAAUUUGUUUUAAUCUUGAGCGCUCAUUGUGAUUACCAUCCCUGCAGUGAGCUGACUCGUGUGUUUAGUGGAACGCGCGUUUCAGGCCACUUGACCUGCCACCUUAGUUAAUGAGGGAGAUCAAGUGGCUCACAUUUUUUUUUGAUAUUUUCUGAUUUUCUUUUAUUUAUUUUAUUUUCAUUAAUUCAUAUUAAUUUUAAUAUUGAUCCAAAAAAUAUGAGAGUUUCACCAAAAAUUUUCAAAUAAUUUCCUCUUUCAUAUUUUGAAUUAAAAUUAUUUUUUGGAUCAUUAUUAAUAUUUUU
This 349-nucleotide long non-coding RNA is filed under the name Lathyrus oleraceus (garden pea). Its description in RNAcentral is "Pisum sativum (pea) long non-coding RNA (PSAT_LNC041956)". The record is from RNAcentral. Lineage: Eukaryota; Viridiplantae; Streptophyta; Magnoliopsida; Fabales; Fabaceae.